UAAAGGUACCCUUCUUGGCUGAUCCCUUUCGCUUUGUGGCGUGCUCGGUUGGGUUGGGCGCCGGCUAAGAGUGGUCGGAGCGUGGAUUAACUCCAGUCUCCAAUCAGGUAAUUUCUAGCCAUAGACGGAUCGGAGCUGCGAGGGGCUCGGAGGAAGCCACACACACUGUUUAUUUUAUAGUUUUGAUUAUUACUUUUAAAUGUUUUAUGUGGGUUGUAGUAAAGCUGUUGUAAUUUUUUAGAUUUCAAAUUUGAAAUUUUACUUAUUGUUCUUAUAA
Molecule: long non-coding RNA, 277 nt
Organism: Gossypium arboreum
Lineage: Eukaryota; Viridiplantae; Streptophyta; Magnoliopsida; Malvales; Malvaceae
Exons: 2
Source: RefSeq, a predicted model, not a curated record